Molecule: non-coding RNA, 83 nt
Organism: Giardia lamblia ATCC 50803
Lineage: Eukaryota; Fornicata; Diplomonadida; Hexamitidae
Source: Rfam
GCACGUUUGGCCGAGUGGUUAAGGCGUGAGAUUUAGGCUCUCAUGGGGGCGACCCCGCGUGGGUUCGAACCCCACAGCGUGCA